Molecule: ribosomal RNA, 494 nt
Filed under: uncultured bacterium
Lineage: Bacteria
Description: partial 16S ribosomal RNA
Rfam family: Bacterial small subunit ribosomal RNA
Source: RNAcentral
GAACGCUGGCGGCGUGCCUAAUACAUGCAAGUCGAGCGAACGGACGAGAAGCUUGCUUUUCUGAUGUUAGCGGCGGACGGGUGAGUAACACGUGGAUAACCUACCUAUAAGACUGGGAUAACUUCGGGAAACCGGAGCUAAUACCGGAUAAUAUUUUGAACCGCAUGGUUCAAAAGUGAAAGACGGCCUUGCUGUCACUUAUAGAUGGAUCCGCGCUGCAUUAGCUAGUUGGUAAGGUAACGGCUUACCAAGGCAACGAUGCAUAGCCGACCUGAGAGGGUGAUCGGCCACACUGGAACUGAGACACGGUCCAGACUCCUACGGGAGGCAGCAGUAGGGAAUCUUCCGCAAUGGGCGAAAGCCUGACGGAGCAACGCCGCGUGAGUGAUGAAGGUCUUCGGAUCGUAAAACUCUGUUAUUAGGGAAGAACAUAUGUGUAAGUAACUGUGCACAUCUUGACGGUACCUAAUCAGAAAGCCACGGCUAACUACGUG